GAGUUUGAUUCAUGGCUCAGGAUGAACGCUAGCGGGAUGCCUAACACAUGCAAGCCGAGCGGGAUUUGUUGGUUAUCUUGCUAACUGACGAAUAAAUCGGCAUACGGGUGCUGAACAUGUGUGCAAUCUACCCUUAUCAAGGGGAUAGCCCAUAAAAAUCUGGAUUAAUACCCUAUAACAUAUGGGAUGGCAUCAUUUCAUAUUAAAAGCUACGGCGGAUAAGGAUGAUCACGCGCAAGAUUAGCUAGUUGGUAAGGUAACGGCUUACCAAGGCGACGAUCUUUAAGGGGCCUGAGAGGGUGAUCCCCCACACUGGGACUGAGACACGGCCCAAACUCCUACGGGAGGCAGCACUGAGGAAUAUUGGACAAUGGGUGGAAGCCUGAUCCAGCCAUCCCGCGUGCAGGACAACUGCCCUAUGGGUUGUAAACUGCUUUUAUAUAAGGAUAAACCUACUCUCGUGAGAGUAGCUGAAGGUACUAUAUGAAUAACCACCGGCUAACUCCAUGCCACCACCCGCGGUAAUACAGAGGGUGCAAGCGUUAUCCGGAUUUAUUGGGUUUAAAGGGUCCGUAGGUGGGCUGAUAAGUCAGCGGUGAAAUCCUGCAGCUUAACUGUAGAACUGCCGUUGAUACUGUUAGUCUUGAGUGUAUUUGAAGUGGCUGGAAUAAGUAGUGUAGCGGUGAAAUGCAUAGAUAUUACUUAGAACACCAAUUGCGAAGGCAGGUCACUAAGAUACAACUGACGCUGAGGGACGAAAGCGUGGGGAGCGAACAGGAUUAGAUACCCUGGUAGUCCACGCUGUAAACGAUGCUAACUCGUUUUUGGUUUUUAUGAAUCAGAGACUAAGCGAAAGUGAUAAGUUAGCCACGUGGGGAGUACGCUCGCAAGAGUGAAACUCAAAGGAAUUGACGGGGGCCCGCACAAGCGGUGGUUUAUGUGGUUUAAUUGGAUGAUACGCGAGGAACCUUACCAAGACUUAAAUGGGAAUUGACAGCGGUAGAAAUCCGGUUUUGUUCGGACAAUUUCCAAGGUGGCGCAUGGUUGUUGUCAGCUCGUGCCGUGAGGUGUUAGGUUAAGUCCUGCAACGAGCAGCAACCCCCGUCACUAGUCGCCAUCAUUCAGUGGGGGAUUGUAGUGGGACUCCGUGCUCAAGCAGUGAGGAAGGGGGGGAGGACGUCAAAUCAUCACCGCCCUUACUUCUUGGGCCACACACGUAAUCCAAUGGCCAGUACAGAGGGCAGGUAGUAUGUGAAUAGAUGGGAAUCUUGAAAGCUGGUCUCAGUUCGGAUUGGAGUCUGCAACUCGACUCUAUGAAGCUGGAAUCGCUAGUAAUCGCGCAUCAGCCAUGGCGCGGUGAAUACGUUCCCGGGCCUUGCACACACCGCCCGUC
Molecule: ribosomal RNA, 1393 nt
Filed under: uncultured bacterium
Lineage: Bacteria
Description: bacterial SSU rRNA
Rfam family: Bacterial small subunit ribosomal RNA
Source: RNAcentral